CGUAGGUGGCAAGCGUUGUCCGGAUUAUUGGGCGUAAGGGAACGCAGGCGGUCUUAAGUCUGAUGUGAAGCCUUCGGCUUAACCGGAGUAGUGCAUUGGAACUGGAAGACUUGAGUGCAGAAGAGGAGAGUGGAACUCCAUGUGUAGCGGUGAAAUGCGUAGAUAUAUGGAAGAACACCAGUGGCGAAAGCGGCUCUCUGGUCUGUAACUGACGCUGAGGUUCGAAAGCGUGGUAGCAAACAGGAUU
RNAcentral lists this ribosomal RNA (247 nucleotides) under uncultured bacterium. Its description in RNAcentral is "partial 16S ribosomal RNA". It matches the Rfam family "Bacterial small subunit ribosomal RNA", at positions 526 to 779 of the family's 1533-position model. The record is from RNAcentral.